This 1325-nucleotide ribosomal RNA is filed under the name metagenome. RNAcentral describes it as "bacterial LSU rRNA". It matches the Rfam family "Bacterial large subunit ribosomal RNA", at positions 1561 to 2925 of the family's 2925-position model. The record is from RNAcentral.
AGUGGAUGGGGAGCAACCUAGUUGUGCGUGUGUAAAGGUAGUGCCAAGAAAAGCGAUGAUCAUGUUGAAAAUCAAUUCCCGGUACCCGAAACCGACACAGGUGGGCAAGUAGAGAAUACUAAGGGGCGCGAGGUAACUCUCUCCAAGGAACUCGGCAAAAUGACCCCGUAACUUAGGGAGAAGGGGUGCCACCGAGAGGUGGUCGCAGUGAAGAGGCCCAGGCGACUGUUUAGCAAAAACAUAGGUCUCUGCAAACUCGAAAGAGGAGGUAUAGGGGCUGACGCCUGCCCAGUGCCGGAAGGUUAAAGAAGUUGGUCAGUUUAAGGAUGAAGCUAGCGACUGAAGCCCCGGUGAACGGCGGCCGUAACUAUAACGGUCCUAGGUAGCGAAAUUCCUUGUCGGGUAAGUUCCGACCCGCACGAAAGGCGUAACGAUCUGGGCGCUGUCUCGGAGAGAGGCUCGGCGAAAUAGGAUUGUCUGUGAAGAUACGGACUACCUGCAUUUGGACAGAAAGACCCUAUGAAGCUUUACUAUAGCUUGGAAUUGUGUUCGGGCUUCCUGUGCGCACGAUAGGUGGGAGGCGUAGAAGGUAUUCUUGUGGGGAUACUGGAGCCAACGGUGAGAUACCACUCUCAGGAGGCUAGAAUUCUAACUUAAUUAAGGACAGUUUCAGGUGGGUAGUUUGACUGGGGCGGUCGCCUCCAAAAAGGUAACGGAGGCGUACAAAGGUUCCCUCAGACUGGUUGGAAAUCAGUCGAAGAGUGCAAAGGCAGAAGGGAGCUUGACUGCGAGAAGUACAGUUCGAGUAGGGUGGAAACACGGUCUUAGUGAUCCGACGGUGCUGUGUGGAAGGGCCGUCGCUCAACGGAUAAAAGUUACUCUAAGGAUAACAGGCUGAUCUCCCCCAAGAGUUCACAUCGACGGGGAGGUUUGGCACCUCGAUGUCGGCUCAUCGCAACCUGGGGCGGAAGUACGUCCCAAGGGUUGGGCUGUUCGCCCAUUAAAGCGGUACGUGAGCUGGGUUCAGAACGUCGUGAGACAGUUCGGUCCAUAUCCGAUGUAGGCGUGAGAAUAUUGAGAGGAGCCUUCCUUAGUACGAGAGGACCGGGAAGGACGCACCGCUGGUGUACCUGUUAUGAUGCCAAUUGUAAACGCAGGGUAGCCAAGUGCGGAGAGGAUAACCGCUGAAAGCAUCUAAGUGGGAAGCCCACCUCAAGAUGAGUAUUCUGGUGUAAGCUCACGGGAAGACGACCCGUAAAUAGGCACGAGGUGGAAGUGCAGAGAUGUAUGAAGCCGAAGUGUACUAAUAGACCGUCGGCUUGACC